RNAcentral lists this ribosomal RNA (378 nucleotides) under Planktothrix agardhii Os-Bul-S2. RNAcentral's name for it is "bacterial SSU rRNA". It matches the Rfam family "Bacterial small subunit ribosomal RNA", at positions 1 to 409 of the family's 1533-position model. The record is from RNAcentral. Lineage: Bacteria; Bacillati; Cyanobacteriota; Cyanophyceae; Oscillatoriales; Microcoleaceae.
UUUUNGAGUUUUGAUCCUGGCUCAGGAUGAACGCUGGCGGUCUGCUUAACACAUGCAAGUCGAACGGAAUCCUUAGGGAUUUAGUGGCGGACGGGUGAGUAACACGUAAGAACCUGCCUCUAGGACGGGGACAACAGUUGGAAACGACUGCUAAACCCGGAUGAGCCGAAAGGUAAAAGAUUAAUCGCCUAGAGAGGGGCUUGCGUCUGAUUAGCUAGUUGGUGAGGUAAGAGCCCACCAAGGCGACGAUCAGUAGCUGGUCUGAGAGGAUGAUCAGCCACACUGGGACUGAGACACGGCCCAGACUCCUACGGGAGGCAGCAGUGGGGAAUUUUCCGCAAUGGGCGAAAGCUGACGGAGCAAGACCGCGUGGGGGAG